AGAGUUUGAUCCUGGCUCAGGACGAACGCUGGCGGCGCGCCUAACACAUGCAAGUCGAACGAGCGAGAGAGAGCUUGCUUUCUCGAGCGAGUGGCGAACGGGUGAGUAACGCGUGAGGAACCUGCCUCAAAGAGGGGGACAACAGUUGGAAACGACUGCUAAUACCGCAUAAGCCCACGACCCGGCAUCGGGUUGAGGGAAAAGGAGCAAUCCGCUUUGAGAUGGCCUCGCGUCCGAUUAGCUAGUUGGUGAGGUAACGGCCCACCAAGGCGACGAUCGGUAGCCGGACUGAGAGGUUGAACGGCCACAUUGGGACUGAGACACGGCCCAGACUCCUACGGGAGGCAGCAGUGGGGAAUAUUGCACAAUGGGGGAAACCCUGAUGCAGCGACGCCGCGUGGAGGAAGAAGGUCUUCGGAUUGUAAACUCCUGUUGUUGAGGAAGAUAAUGACGGUACUCAACAAGGAAGUGACGGCUAACUACGUGCCAGCAGCCGCGGUAAAACGUAGGUCACAAGCGUUGUCCGGAAUUACUGGGUGUAAAGGGAGCGCAGGCGGGAAGACAAGUUGGAAGUGAAAUCUAUGGGCUCAACCCAUAAACUGCUUUCAAAACUGUUUUUCUUGAGUAGUGCAGAGGUAGGCGGAAUUCCCGGUGUAGCGGUGGAAUGCGUAGAUAUCGGGAGGAACACCAGUGGCGAAGGCGGCCCACUGGGCACCAACUGACGCUGAGGCUCGAAAGUGUGGGUAGCAACAGGAUUAGAUACCCUGGUAGUCCACACCGUAAACGAUGAUUACUAGGUGUUGGAGGAUUGACCCCUUCAGUGCCGCAGUUAACACAAUAAGUAAUCCACCUGGGGAGUACGACCGCAAGGUUGAAACUCAAAGGAAUUGACGGGGGCCCGCACAAGCAGUGGAGUAUGUGGUUUAAUUCGACGCAACGCGAAGAACCUUACCAAGUCUUGACAUCCUGCGACGCACAUAGAAAUAUGUGUUUCCUUCGGGACGCAGAGACAGGUGGUGCAUGGUUGUCGUCGGCUCGUGUCGUGAGAUGUUGGGUUAAGUCCCGCAACGAGCGCAACCCUUACUGUCAGUUACUACGCAAGAGGACUCUGGCAGGACUGCCGUUGACAAAACGGAGGAAGGUGGGGAUGACGUCAAAUCAUCAUGCCCUUUAUGACUUGGGCUACACACGUACUACAAUGGCGUUAAACAAAGAGAAGCAAGACCGCGAGGUGGAGCAAAACUCAGAAACAACGUCCCAGUUCGGACUGCAGGCUGCAACUCGCCUGCACGAAGUCGGAAUUGCUAGUAAUCGUGGAUCAGCAUGCCACGGUGAAUACGUUCCCGGGCCUUGACACACCGCCCGUCA
This 1368-nucleotide ribosomal RNA is filed under the name uncultured bacterium. Its description in RNAcentral is "16S ribosomal RNA". It matches the Rfam family "Bacterial small subunit ribosomal RNA". The record is from RNAcentral.